GGAAGUGUCGCAUAGUGGUCAAUUGCAGCGGGUUGCUAACUCGCGCCCUUCGGGGCCCGUGGGUUCAAAUCCCACCACUUCCGCAA
This 86-nucleotide transfer RNA is filed under the name Candidatus Pacebacteria bacterium CG10_big_fil_rev_8_21_14_0_10_45_6. Its description in RNAcentral is "tRNA-Ser". It matches the Rfam family "tRNA". Rfam says of the family: Transfer RNA (tRNA) molecules are approximately 80 nucleotides in length. Their secondary structure includes four short double-helical elements and three loops (D, anti-codon, and T loops). Further hydrogen bonds mediate the characteristic L-shaped molecular structure. tRNAs have two regions of fundamental functional importance: the anti-codon, which is responsible for specific mRNA codon recognition, and the 3' end, to which the tRNAs corresponding amino acid is attached (by aminoacyl-tRNA synthetases). tRNAs cope with the degeneracy of the genetic code in two manners: having more than one tRNA (with a specific anti-codon) for a particular amino acid; and 'wobble' base-pairing, i.e. permitting non-standard base-pairing at the 3rd anti-codon position. The record is from RNAcentral. Lineage: Bacteria; Bacillati; Minisyncoccota.